RNAcentral lists this long non-coding RNA (653 nucleotides) under Equus caballus (horse). Its description in RNAcentral is "lncRNA (ENSECAG00000055154.1)". The record is from RNAcentral. Lineage: Eukaryota; Metazoa; Chordata; Mammalia; Perissodactyla; Equidae.
AGACCCCUGGGCUAACAGCCCAAGGGAUGCACCUCAAUGGCCCCCACUGGUGUCCGUAUCAGCACGCCUGGACCAGCUCAGAACAACGGCCCCCACCAAUGUCUCAGUCUCUGGAGAGGAUCCUCCUCUCACCAAGAUGCCCCCAGAGCCCACCAGAGAGAAAAGGAGAAUGUUCACAAUAGAUUUUAAGAUGUGCUGCUAAUUUUCCUGAAGAGAGAACCUAGAGUUUCACUACUUUAACCUAGUCCCUGAUAAAAUCAGAGACAGAUGCUGUGCAAAGGAAAAGUUCUCAACGUUCAAAGAAAGAUGCCAGAAGCCUUUCCACGUGGAGUUUUGAUUUUGUUAGGUUUUAUCAAGCCAGCUUGAGAUGCCAGCCUUAAGUGAGAGUCUUGAUGAUAAAGAAAGAUUACAUACAGCUCUAGGAGAGAUAUGUUUUAUCUUUGACAAUCCCUGUGUUAUUUUUGUAAUAUUUCUUGGUUAUUUUAUGCUUUUCUUACAUAUGCCUCCACGUUCCUUUAUUGCUUUUUUGCUGGAGUCUCACGUAAUUAAUAUUAUUUAAUGAUUUAUUGAUAUAUUAAAUAUUGAUUAAUUUUGAAAUCUAAAUGAAGAUUCCAGUGAGUUUAUUAUACGCAGAGGAACUUGCCAAUUAGAUG